UACGUAGGGAGCAAGCGUUGUCCGGAAUCAUUGGGCGUAAAGCGCGCGUAGGCGGCCCUGUAAGUCCGUUGUGAAAGUCAAAGGCUCAACCUUUGAAAGCCGAUGGAUACUGCAGGGCUAGAGUCCGGAAGAGGCGAGUGGAAUUCCUGGUGUAGCGGUGGAAUGCGCAGAUAUCGGGAGGAACACCUGUGGCGAAGGCGGCCCCCUGGUUGGAUACUGACGCUGAUACGCGAAAGCGUGGGGAGCAAACAGG
Molecule: ribosomal RNA, 253 nt
Filed under: uncultured bacterium
Lineage: Bacteria
Description: partial 16S ribosomal RNA
Rfam family: Bacterial small subunit ribosomal RNA
Source: RNAcentral